Molecule: ribosomal RNA, 392 nt
Filed under: uncultured bacterium
Lineage: Bacteria
Description: partial 16S ribosomal RNA
Rfam family: Bacterial small subunit ribosomal RNA
Source: RNAcentral
AUACGGAGGGUGCAAGCGUUAUCCGGAUUUAUUGGGUUUAAAGGGUGCGUAGGCGGUUUGAUAAGUCAGCGGUGAAAUAUUUCAGCUUAACUGGAAGGGUGCCGUUGAUACUGUCGAGCUUGAAUUUAGUUGCUGUGGGUGGAAUGUGUGGUGUAGCGGUGAAAUGCAUAGAUAUCACACAGAAUAUCGAUUGCGAAGGCAGCUCACAAAGCUAAUAUUGACGCUGAUGCACGAAAGUGUGGGGAUCAAACAGGAUUAGAUACCCUGGUAGUCCACACUGUAAACGAUGAUAACUCGCUGUCGGCGAUACAUAGUCGGUGGCCAAGCGAAAGCGAUAAGUUAUCCACCUGGGGAGUACGACCGCAAGGUUGAAACUCAAAUGAAUUGACGGG